RNAcentral lists this long non-coding RNA (1149 nucleotides) under Heterocephalus glaber (naked mole-rat). RNAcentral's name for it is "lncRNA (ENSHGLG00000037719.1)". The record is from RNAcentral. Lineage: Eukaryota; Metazoa; Chordata; Mammalia; Rodentia; Bathyergidae.
UUCCAUUCCUAAAGAUUUAUGGCCUAUCUUUAUAGUUUAUCUGAUUUUGGUACUCCUGAGCCUUUUGAUGGCCCUUGAUAUGCUUCUUUUGUUGUGGAUUUUCUUGAGUUAGUGGACUGAGAUGAUUAUUCUGAUACAGCCUGUUGCACACAAAAAUUAACCCUACCAAUAUAGUGGUGUUUUUUCCUUACCAAAUAGUGUAUUAGUAAUCUUGGCUAUGUGUGACAUUAACUGCCAAACAUUUUAGCCUACAUGGCAACCUUACAUUAUUUUUUUCUUCACUGGAAAGAAAUUCAUCAAAUGCAAAUUUUGCCUUUAUCACUUUCUCUGUUACUGAAUUAACCAGUGAGCCCUUAGAGGACUCUGCUCUUUCAAAAACAUUUUAAGGUUUGCACAAACCCAGCCUCUUUUCCAAUAUUCUACACACUUACAGGCUCUAAAGAGCCCUAGCUAGAAAUAUAGUACUUGAACUAUUCACCACCUUAGGGAUUUCUGGUGCAUCCUGUGUAAUUGAAACCUGAGUUUAACGCCUGGUGCUUUUGACUAGGGGUGGUCAGUGUCCUAUAAAUGCAAACACAGCAUUCCUGUACCUCCAAAAGUACAAUGCAGUGGCAUUUUAGUGGAUGGGCAGUUUCAACACUUGUGCCUUGGGGUGCUUACUGAAGCUUUAUGGAUGAAACCACUGGUUGUUUUCUCCAUAUCCUGAAGUCCUUUAAAUGUUUCUCUGUAGGAGACAAGUGGGUUUUACAAUUGUGAGAUCUUAGCUGCCUUCAGGCUUCGAAACUAUCAAGCCUCUUAACUGCCUGUGCUACUGGAAAUACUUUGAGGGAAAUAUCAGUCUCACAGUGACACUGUCAUACAGCUUCUCUACAAUCCUUUGAGCCACAGCUGAAAAGAGCCUCUCUUUGUGAUCCUUACAGAUACCACUGAGAAUUAUAAUAAAGGUGGUGGUAAAAACAACUUACAGAGCCUUUCCCAUAUCUUAGUUGCAGCAAAUUUUGUCGUUUCAUUUUUGAGAUCUAACACACAUUUUACACCAUCAAAAUGUGAUUUACAUUAAUCAGUAUGCUAAUGAGUAUGUAAAACAUUCUUUUGCACUGAUGUAUUUUAAACCUCCCUCCAUUAAAAGCAUAACAGCUACACCAAAAA